RNAcentral lists this ribosomal RNA (496 nucleotides) under uncultured bacterium. Its description in RNAcentral is "partial 16S ribosomal RNA". It matches the Rfam family "Bacterial small subunit ribosomal RNA", at positions 28 to 507 of the family's 1533-position model. The record is from RNAcentral.
GAUGAACGCUGGCGGCGUGCCUAAUACAUGCAAGUCGAGCGAACAGACGAGGAGCUUGCUCCUCUGACGUUAGCGGCGGACGGGUGAGUAACACGUGGAUAACCUACCUAUAAGACUGGGAUAACUUCGGGAAACCGGAGCUAAUACCGGAUAAUAUAUUGAACCGCAUGGUUCAAUAGUGAAAGACGGUUUUGCUGUCACUUAUAGAUGGAUCCGCGCCGCAUUAGCUAGUUGGUAAGGUAACGGCUUACCAAGGCAACGAUGCGUAGCCGACCGAGAGGGUGAUCGGCCACACUGGAACUGAGACACGGUCCAGACUCCUACGGGAGGCAGCAGUAGGGAAUCUUCCGCAAUGGGCGAAAGCUUGACGGAGCAACGCCGCGUGAGUGAUGAAGGUCUUCGGAUCGUAAAACUCUGUUAUUAGGGAAGAACAAAUGUGUAAGUAACUAUGCACGUCUUGACGGUACCUAAUCAGAAAGCCACGGCUAACUACGUG